This 115-nucleotide small nucleolar RNA is filed under the name Dasypus novemcinctus (nine-banded armadillo). Its description in RNAcentral is "Small nucleolar RNA SNORA31 (ENSDNOG00000029982.1)". It matches the Rfam family "Small nucleolar RNA SNORA31". From Rfam's summary of the family: ACA31 (SNORA31) belongs to the H/ACA class of snoRNAs which are thought to guide the sites of modification of uridines to pseudouridines. ACA31 is predicted to guide the pseudouridylation of U3713 in 28S rRNA and U218 in 18S rRNA. The record is from RNAcentral. Lineage: Eukaryota; Metazoa; Chordata; Mammalia; Cingulata; Dasypodidae.
CUGCAUCCUCUGAUAGACCUUGAACAAAUUGUUGUUCUUUUGCUUUGCACUAGGAUGCAAAAAAAAAACUCCCUGAAUUUUCUGUGUCUUUGUGGAGGCCCAGGGGACUACAUAU